AAAAAAAAAAAAAAAAAAAAAAGACUAUUCUGCAGUAGUGCUUAAACUCUGGACAUUCCAAGCUUCCGUUCGAACAGCCGGCGAAGAAGGUAAACUUGCAGAACGCUAGCACCAAUUAGUGCUGCAGAUUCAUAUAAAGCUUUGUGAAUAGCCCUGCGGCCCAUUGCUUCAUUUACUAUUGCUUGACGUUCAGUUUGAGCCUCCAGCCAAUGCUGCUCAAAUUGUAUGUUGUAAAGAGCCUCCUCUAGCUUCCAUAUCUGAUCUAGCAAGGGUUUAAAAUGCUCAUCUUUCGCAUGCUCAUCAUAGUAUGAAAAAUGGCC
Molecule: unclassified non-coding RNA, 320 nt
Filed under: Hevea brasiliensis (rubber tree)
Lineage: Eukaryota; Viridiplantae; Streptophyta; Magnoliopsida; Malpighiales; Euphorbiaceae
Source: RNAcentral